UUCCCCUAGUAACGGCGAGUGAAGCGGGAUGAGCUCAAAUUUGUAAUCUGGCAGUUUCACUGUCCGAGUUGUAAUCUAUAGAAGUGUUUUCCGUGCUGGCUCAUGUACAAGUCCCUUGGAAUAGGGCAUCAUAGAGGGUGACAAUCCCGUACUUGACAUGAACUCCCAGUGCUCUGUGAUACACUUUCAAAGAGUCGAGUUGUUUGGGAAUGCAGCUCAAAAUGGGUGGUAAAUUCCAUCUAAAGCUAAAUAUUGGUGGGAGACCGAUAGCGAACAAGUACCGUGAGGGAAAGAUGAAAAGCACUUUGGAAAGAGAGUUAAACAGUAUGUGAAAUUGUUAAAAGGGAAACGCUUGAAGUCAGUCAUGCUUUUGAGAACUUGUUCUCUUUAGUGGGGUCAACAUCAGUUUUGAUCGCUGGAAAAGGGCUGGAGGAAUGUAGUACCCUCGGGUAAACUUAUAGCCUCCUGUCGCAUACAGUGGUUGGGACUGAGGACUGCGGCUUUGCCUAGGAUGUUGACAUAAUGGCUUUAAACGACCCGUCUUGAAACACGGACCA
This 557-nucleotide ribosomal RNA is filed under the name Cryptococcus sp. BRT36. RNAcentral describes it as "LSU rRNA". It matches the Rfam family "Eukaryotic large subunit ribosomal RNA", at positions 75 to 668 of the family's 3401-position model. The record is from RNAcentral. Lineage: Eukaryota; Fungi; Basidiomycota; Tremellomycetes; Tremellales; Cryptococcaceae.